This is a long non-coding RNA of Orcinus orca (killer whale), 581 nucleotides long. RefSeq lists it as uncharacterized. Lineage: Eukaryota; Metazoa; Chordata; Mammalia; Artiodactyla; Delphinidae. The record is from RefSeq and is a predicted model, not a curated record. The transcript is spliced from 3 exons.
GUGGAAUGUCUUUUCUGAUUGCUUCUAUGCCUGUGUUUUUCCUCAUGGAAUUGGAAAUAAGUUCAUCUGCUGAGAUUAAAGUGCAUGGAAGAGAUUUUGGAAAACCAAGAUAUUCCAGAUUCAUUUCUACUGCAGUCCUGGAAUUAGACGUUUCUACAAGGAAUAAUGGUUGAGUUUAGCAGAGGAUGGCCUCUCUCUGUUGUGGCCUCUCUCGUUGCAGAGCACAGGCUCCAGACGCGCAGGCUCAGCGGCCAUGGUUCAUGGGCCCAGCCACUCCGCGGCAUGUGGGAUCUUCCCGGACUGGGGCACGAACCCGUGUCCCCUGCAUCGGCAGGUGGACUCUCAACCACUGCGCCACCAGGGAAGCCCUGAUUACUUCUUAAGGUGAAUUUAUAGAAGUUUAGUUUUCUACUUUUCAUAAAAUUUUAUUAACAUACAGCCAUCAGUCAAUGAAGAGAGAAUAAUCCAAAAGCAGUUCUUGCCUGAGAGGAAUUUUCAUCAAAGUGCAGCCUUUAAACCUAGAGAUAUGUAUUUGAGAGCAUAUUUUGUAAGAUAUUACCAAUAAAAGUCAACUAUCUGUA